GCCGGGUGCGGUGGCAUGUGCCUGUAAUCCAAGUCACUGGGAGGCUGAGGUUGGUGGAUCAAGUGAGCUGAGGAGCUCUGGGCUGCAGCACGCUAUGUCGAACGGGUGUCCACGCUAAGUUCGGUAUCGAUAUGGUGUUCCUGGGGGAGCCCGGGACCACCAGGUUGUCUAAGGAGGGGUGAACCGGCCCAGGUCGGAAACGAAGCAGGUCAAAUCCCCCGUGCUGUCCAGUAGUGGGAUAAUACCUGUGAGUAGAUGCUGCAGCCUUGGCAAAACAUCGAGACCUAAUCUUUU
RNAcentral lists this signal recognition particle RNA (294 nucleotides) under Oncorhynchus mykiss (rainbow trout). RNAcentral's name for it is "Metazoan signal recognition particle RNA (ENSOMYG00000071791.1)". It matches the Rfam family "Metazoan signal recognition particle RNA". Rfam says of the family: The signal recognition particle (SRP) is a universally conserved ribonucleoprotein. It is involved in the co-translational targeting of proteins to membranes. The eukaryotic SRP consists of a 300-nucleotide 7S RNA and six proteins: SRPs 72, 68, 54, 19, 14, and 9. Lineage: Eukaryota; Metazoa; Chordata; Actinopteri; Salmoniformes; Salmonidae. The record is from RNAcentral.